AAUUAAUGAUCUUGAAUAAGUCUAUGUUUUGAAAACAUAUUAAAGAAACUUAAAUUUUCUAUUAAUUU
This 68-nucleotide transfer RNA is filed under the name Atta sexdens rubropilosa. RNAcentral's name for it is "tRNA-Ser". Lineage: Eukaryota; Metazoa; Arthropoda; Insecta; Hymenoptera; Formicidae. The record is from RNAcentral.